ACAUGCAAGUCGAGCGAACGGACGAGAAGCUUGCUUCUCUGAUGUUAGCGGCGGACGGGUGAGUAACACGUGGAUAACCUACCUAUAAGACUGGGAUAACUUCGGGAAACCGGAGCUAAUACCGGAUAAUAUUUUGAACCGCAUGGUUCAAAAGUGAAAGACGGUCUUGCUGUCACUUAUAGAUGGAUCCGCGCUGCAUUAGCUAGUUGGUAAGGUAACGGCUUACCAAGGCAACGAUGCAUAGCCGACCUGAGAGGGUGAUCGGCCACACUGGAACUGAGACACGGUCCAGACUCCUACGGGAGGCAGCAGUAGGGAAUCUUCCGCAAUGGGCGAAAGCCUGACGGAGCAACGCCGCGUGAGUGAUGAAGGUCUUCGGAUCGUAAAACUCUGUUAUUAGGGAAGAACAUAUGUGUAAGUAACUGUGCACAUCUUGACGGUACCUAAUCAGAAAGCCACGGCUAACUACGUGCCAGCAGCCGCGGUAAUACGUAGGUGGCAAGCGUUAUCCGGAAUUAUUGGGCGUAAAGCGCGCGUAGGCGGUUUUUUAAGUCUGAUGUGAAAGCCCACGGCUCAACCGUGGAGGGUCAUUGGAAACUGGAAAACUUGAGUGCAGAAGAGGAAAGUGGAAUUCCAUGUGUAGCGGUGAAAUGCGCAGAGAUAUGGAGGAACACCAGUGGCGAAGGCGACUUUCUGGUCUGUAACUGACGCUGAUGUGCGAAAGCGUGGGGAUCAAACAGGAUUAGAUACCCUGGUAGUCCACGCCGUAAACGA
This 774-nucleotide ribosomal RNA is filed under the name Staphylococcus aureus. RNAcentral's name for it is "bacterial SSU rRNA". It matches the Rfam family "Bacterial small subunit ribosomal RNA", at positions 53 to 809 of the family's 1533-position model. The record is from RNAcentral. Lineage: Bacteria; Bacillati; Bacillota; Bacilli; Caryophanales; Staphylococcaceae.